AAUAACCUCAUUUUUUAUUUUUCGUGUUCAACGUUUGACCAUUCGUCUUAUUUAAAAAAUUUGUAUAUAUACUUAAAAAAUUAGUUAUAUAUAAAAUAUUAUUUAUAUUUUGUCAUCCAGUAACAAUAAAAAUAUUAAUCACAAAAAAGUUUCAAAUAAGACGAAUGAUUAAACGUUGGAUAUUAAAAAACA
Molecule: microRNA precursor, 192 nt
Filed under: Oryza brachyantha (malo sina)
Lineage: Eukaryota; Viridiplantae; Streptophyta; Magnoliopsida; Poales; Poaceae
Description: MIR812 microRNA precursor family
Rfam family: MIR812 microRNA precursor family
Source: Rfam by way of RNAcentral